CAGCCGCCGCGGUAAUACGGAGGAGGCAAGCGUUAUCCGGAAUUAUUGGGCGUAAAGCGUCCGUAGGUGGCGAUUCGUGUCAGUUGUCAAAGAGUGCGGCUUAACCGCAUAGGGGCGAUUGAAACUGGGUUGCUAGAGUGCGAUAGGGGCAAGGGGAAUUCCCAGUGUAGCGGUGAAAUGCGUAGAUAUUGGGAAGAACACCGGUGGCGAAAGCGCCUUGCUGGGUCUGCACUGACACUGAGGGACGAAAGCUAGGGGAGCGAAAGGG
This 268-nucleotide ribosomal RNA is filed under the name uncultured prokaryote. RNAcentral's name for it is "partial 16S ribosomal RNA". It matches the Rfam family "Bacterial small subunit ribosomal RNA", at positions 509 to 776 of the family's 1533-position model. The record is from RNAcentral.